AAAUAAGUCGUACAAGUGAAAAGAGGAAGAUAAUGUAAUACAUGUUUAAAGACAUAUUAACGAAACAUUACGAAAUACACUUCAUUCAACGAAACCAAACUGACCCACCAUCUAAAUACGUAUAAAUUAACGACAGCGUUUUGCCUUGAUUAUCUGAAGCUUAUUUGAAACUGAGAUACUUGAAAAUAUAAUGAUUUUACUUACAUAUAUGUUUACGUGAUCUUUAUGAUGAU
Molecule: long non-coding RNA, 233 nt
Organism: Haliotis rubra (blacklip abalone)
Lineage: Eukaryota; Metazoa; Mollusca; Gastropoda; Lepetellida; Haliotidae
Exons: 3
Source: RefSeq, a predicted model, not a curated record